GGUAAUAAUUCUUAUAAUAUAGCAGUCUUUUUAAAUCUGAAGGACCUCAUAUCGAAAAGUUGUGGAAGUUGGUGACCGAUUUUAAACAGUAAAUUUCCAUGCACUGGUUUAUGCAACGCGGCCGCAGUAAAUUGAGCGUAUGUGGAACGAUUUUUCCCUGGGAAAAAAGGAAAAUAAAUGAAAAUGUGGUAAUUGACCUCAUUUAUCCUGUUGGGCAGCCUCAUUACCAUGGCGAGAAACUGGUAUCGAUUUAUAUCGAUUGUUCUAUUCAUAUUUUAUUAUUGAUAGGGUACCCAUUUCUUCUAAUAAGCAAUUUGGGAUAAUAGAGUUUAACGAGUGCCCUUUUUAUUUUUAGGCCACGCUGUAACACGCUCAAGAUCGAUAACCAUUUUUUUUUAAUAAACUAUUUUAUCACGUCGGAAUAGUAUAAACUUAAGAAGGGAUGCGUAGUGAAUGCCCGUAUUCAUAGUAAAAUAUUACGGGACGGGUCAUAAUAUGGGACGAGAUGGUCAAAUAUUGUGACAGUCCUGUAUAUAAGGGACGGUAUGGUUACCCUUGUUAUACAUAGAACAACGUGUAAUAAAUACCUGGUUCUUGCACUGGCCAGGACGUUGACACCAUGUUGGACCUUGAACAAGGAAAUCUAGUAUAUAUUUUAAUUUCAACGAGGUAUUUGUUGAUUUUUAGAUGUUCUUUUGUAUUAUUUAUUAUAAUAAUAUAUAAUUAAAAUCAUUACAUAGAAUAAAACAAUAUCGCUUCCCGCUGUCUAUCUGUCGCUAUGUAUGCGUAGGUAUUUUUUAUGGUUUUACCCGAGCGGAGCCGGGACGGUCUGCUAGAGUCCAUAUUUUACUUUAUUACUAGAAAAGAAAUGUUGUCAUCACUUGAAACAUCGCUUGUCACUCUCGUUAACUUUAUUAAUUGAAAUAAUUCGUUGUCUCGUUUUCAGAAUAGAAAUUAACGCUUUCACUCACAUUGUAUAACGUAUAUAUUUUUUAAAAUAAAUUUAAUUACCAAAUGCCAUCGCUUCUUGUGCUCUUAAAUGUGUAACGAAUGUAAUAUGGCACCUAUUAUGUGUAAUUGAGUAAAAUAAUAAAGAUCGCGGGCGUGCGCUUACGCAAGUAGAAAGUCGUUUACGCUGUCCGCGCCUAUUGUUAUGCAUCUUCGACAGAUCUUGAUUUUGAGAAUCUGACGCACGUGAUGAUUAAGCAUUGGAGAUCCGUUUGAUUGAGUGAUUCUUAAAAAAAUCGUAUGUUAGCUAUACAUAAGGCAAUACUAAUUUGUCAUUAAAAUGGCUACGCUGACGUUCAGGGACCCGAUUUUUACGCACUCGGAGUUCACUACAUCAGGUUCCUCCAUUUUUUCUAAAGAUUUAUGUUUCUGAUUGUGUAUUACUUAAAAUCACCGUAAAAAGUACGAGCGAACGCAUCGAUCGAUUCAAUUUUUUCGGUUGUAAAUUUGCUUAAAACCAUCGAAAGAAAAUGGAGAAAAUUGAAGAAGUGAAAUUCGGCGUAGCCUAUUUAAAUAAGUGAGUAUUCCCACAUAAACAACAUAUCUAUUUCUAAGUUAAGUGUUAAUCAAAUCGUUUAUUCGUUCCGAAAUGUACUACAUAUAUACAAUAGUCUUUAAAAAUAUUAUAUUAAUAAAUUUAUUAUCACGCCGGAAAUGUGGCCAUCCCAAUUUCGGCUCUUGUCUUGGCUCGGUUUAUCCCGUAAUGGAUAAAUACGUGUUAAUGUAUUUGUAAUUGAACUUACUGUAUGUAUAUCGCAUUGCACUUAAAAUUGUAUCUUCUUCACCUAAGUAAAAAAUUGAAAAGAAAUCUCAUAAGACAAAGUUUAUAACAAACGAAAUACAUAGAUUUUCAGCACUUGAUAGAAUAAUUCAUAUAUGUGUAUAAUUCUCUCUCCGGAUAAAGCCAAUUUUUAAAAUUCAGAUACUUACAUUCCUACAAGUGCCAUAAAUUAUUAACACGUAAGUAAUUCAGCGCAUGCGCAGGUUACGGAGCAAAUUGUACAAAAACCUUGUCAUAUUUUUCCCACAGUGUGGUUAUUAUUCACCGCAAUUUCUUGCAUUCUCGUAAUAUUAACAAUUUAUUGCAAUUAAACAGACGCGAUACGGAAGCCACGAGUCAAGGAUACACAGCUGUUACUACGUAUGAUAAGUGUUUAUGUACCAAUCAGUACUUUACACAGUGUAAUGACGGUUGUACACUAUCGGUAAACAGUUCGCCAAAUUUUAUUUUACAUUGCUGGUGUUUCCUUAUUAUAACUAAAAACUCUCAUACAAACUACACAGGGUGCGUUCGUUUGCGUCAGGAUCUAAGUUCGCCAAUAGUGUAGCGGCAUAACAAGAGCUGUCAAACUAUUAGACUUAAGGUUAUUAGCUAUAUCUAUUCGCAAUGUCAUCAAAAUCGGCCUAGCCGUUUAGCCGUAAAAGCGUGACAAACACGACUUUCGCAUUUAUAAAAUUAUUAUUAUUUAUAUUUAUAUUAUUGUAGCAUCUAACAAAACCCACGCUUUUUUCUUUCCUUCCCAGCAUGAAGUAACUUUAUGGUUGACUGGUAGAAAAUGCCAUAUAUGGCGAUGUCCGCCGUUUGUACUUUUUUUUUGUAAUUUGUGCAAUAAAGUUUUAAAUAAAUAAAUGACU
This is a long non-coding RNA of Plodia interpunctella (Indianmeal moth), 2643 nucleotides long. RefSeq lists it as uncharacterized. The transcript has 4 exons. The record is from RefSeq and is a predicted model, not a curated record. NCBI's taxonomy places the organism in Eukaryota, Metazoa, Arthropoda, Insecta, Lepidoptera, Pyralidae.